GAACUUUGUUUGGUAUUCUGUUGAUUAGAAGUUAUGGUGAGAUCAUUGUGGAAAACUUGGGAUAUGACAGCAGAAUUCGAAGAGCGAGUAGGGUAUGAGACAGAAAGUGAUGAGUUUGAUGAUUUGAUGAGGUAAGGAUGAAAGUAUUCAGGUGCAUCACCAUUGUUGAGAACAAAGUUUUGGAAGAAAGAGUUUGUAGGCAGGGGUGUGGAUAGCAGAUUUGGAGAGAAGAAUUUGGAGGGGUCAGGGAGGACAGUGGAAUUACCUUGUGGGAAUAGAAAAGGUUUGUUCUUGUUGAUAGUAGAAGACAUGGUGUAUGCUUAUGAUGGUAAUGGCCUUGAUGGUUAUUGUAGUAGUGAUGGAUCAUGAGUUUUAUAGUGUUUGAUGAUUAUGUGUGUUGAGUGAAUUUCUUUCUUACCUUGUUUCUUAAUAUUAUUAUUAUUAUCAACAUUGGCAACUACUCUAUCUACAACUUGCUUCAUAUAUUAUUAAAUUGGUAUGAGUUGUAAGAUAAUGGGAAAUGGUUUCUUUAUAUAGCCAGUCCAAUAUUAACUGCAAAAAGAUCUUAGUCAUUUAAUUUUGAUUAAUUGUUCAUAAUAUUUUUGAUUUAUUUGUCAAGUUUUGAAUCUGAAUCGUCCGAUUUCGAUCAAAUGGUCUUCAAUCUGCAAGAUUGUAGGAUUUUAUUGUUGUAGGAAAUUUUAGUCUAAGAUAGUGGGAUUUGAGUAAUUUAGGUGAUAUAUGUAGGAUUGUAUAUGGUAGUCUAGUUGACUAUAUAAUAUUGGAAUUGUCAAUUAAAUUAUAGCAGAAGUUGAUUGGUUUUUUUGGACAAAGUGUGUGUAAAGAGUGAAAAUAAAGAGGAUUGAAAGGUUGAUUAAAGUUUAAGGUAAGGUACAUGAAUGUGACCAAUUCUUUAAGGAAGACAAAAUACAUGAUAGAGACAUUAAUUCUUUAUGGGAAAUGCUAAAUAGUGUCCUUGGGGUAAUGGUUAAGAUGAUAAAAAUAGAAACUUUGCAUUGGGAAAUAUUGAAAAGUGAAAAAUUUAACUUUUUAAAAAUCAAAACAUUGUUGAAUUCAAUGUAUAUAUACUACUUUUGAUUUCCUUAACCAUUGUCCUGAGGGCACCGGUUAGCAAAACCCAUUCUUUAUAUAUGAAUCUAAAUGAAAGUGAUUAUUUAUUUUUUUUUAUGUUAAAAUGAAAGUGAAUGUAACAAACAAGGAAAUCUCAUUAUUUUGUUGAAAAUGAACCUUAACAGAAUUUACUACUCAGUAACUUUUCUUGUAUUACAUGUAGAAAUUAAUUAUUGUAUAUACUUGGAGAGUAUUAUGCUGAUUUAAGACAAUAGAAAACGUGACACAUGACAAAACAUAAUUGUAGACAUUGUUGAAUUGAAAAUAGAUACUAUAAUUAUGGAUAUAAUUAGCACAACAUCAUGCCAACUGCAUAAAGUAUUGGAUAAGUUUCAGUUAAGCUGUCCAUGCUUGUGACAGCAAUUUAAGAGAUUGUUAGGACCAAAUGCAUGCUAAUAAACACCAGUGCAAAAUAAGGAUUAAAAGAAACUACUUUUAAUCAUUUUUUUAACAAGAAAUCAUAUUAUUUCAUUCAUCAAAAUGGUAGAAAUAUAAGAUGGAAUCAAAUGAAAGACCUCUCACGAGCAUAUAAUUUUGACGCCUUUGCUAGACUAUGGGCGACACAAUUUGCUUGUCUCAUAACAAAAAUUUUCUUAAAAUUUGGAUAUUGUUGUAGCAUAAUCCUAUAUAUAGUUAUAAUGUUGCCAAAUUCCGACUCGUUUUUAGAACUAUCAACAAUGUUGCCAACCACUAGCUUACAAUCUAGCUCAAUAUGCACUUUUGAUAGGCCUAAAUUACCAAGCCAUAAAAUAGCAUCUCAUAAGCCCAACACCUCUGCUUUCGGUGGAGAUGGAACACCCUCAUACCACUUGGAUUACGCUUUUAUGAAAUGACCACGAGAGUUCCAAAUGCACAUACCGAUACCAAAACACAGUUGUUCACCAAAAAGGGCUGCAUCGAUGUUGCAUUUGACGUAAUCUUCCUCUUGGGUUGCCAUCGUUGUACAGCUUCUCUCACGGUCUUCCCUUGCUGUAAUUUUCUAUUGCAAACAGCCUUCCAUUGGUUCAGCAUGCCGCGAGCUAAAUGCACAACCAGCCGCACUUCUUUCAUAUCACCUUCCUACACUUUAUUAUUCCUUCUACGCCAUAAACACCAUAACAUCAUCGCGAUAUCUUGACAUGUUUGAUCGGAACCCUGCACAAUAACCGAAAAAUGCAUUCUGCAAAGUUAGAAACAGCAGCAGCAGCGUCUCAUACUAAUUCCCGCAGGCCAGCAACUUGCCACACUAGUUUGGCAGCCUCGCAACCUAUAACCCAGUGUCAAUCAUUUUCGCAACUAUUCUCGCAAUGAGGGCAGCAAUCUGUACACGGUACUCCUCUAUCUUGGAGUCGCAUACGCGUUGGUAAAACUCCCCUACGAGCCCACCAUAGGAACACUUUGACUCAUCGAAGCAGCUGUAAGUUCCACAUUCUCAUCCAAUCUCCCGACAUCCGCUACUCUUCAUUAUCAUUUAGACUUUCCAUUGCAUAUUAUAGGCCGACUUUACCGUGUAGAAACCUUUUUUUUUAUUAAACUUCCAAAUAAGUUUUGUCUUCCCCCUCCGGAUUAGAUAUGACCACUUUUAGAAUCUCCUCUUUGUCUCUGUCAUUGAAUAGCGCAUUAACAAUCCCACAAUUCCAACUUUGACCUUGCGUAACUAUCAUAUCUGCCACCUUCCAAUGUUCGGCUCCCUGUACUACCGAAGUUGAGAUGCAUGAGUUUCCAUCCGUACGCAGUCAAGGGUCUUUCCAAAUCGAUAUACUCUUCCCGUUACCAACCCUCCACCUUUGAUCUCCUCUAACUAACACCUGUGAACCAAAUAUACUACACCAAAUAAAACUUGGGUUAUGGCCUAGACGAGUCCCCAAAAAAUUAGUCCAUGGAAAAAAUCUAGCUUUGUAAAUCCGAGUUAAGAUAGUAUUUGGGUGAGUUAACAAUUUUCACCCUUGCUUCCCUAGCGUAGACAAAUUAAAGCCAAACAAGUGUCGAAAACCCAUACUCCUUGCGCGUUGUUAAUUUAUCCCAACUAAGCCAAUCAAUGCCUUUGCCUUGCCUCCUAUUCAAUCCCCACCAGAAAGAGUUAAUCAUUAUUUGAAUCUCCUCCCCCAAUGUUGUUGGUAAUAAGAAAGUGCUCAUACAAUAUGUGGGAAUUGCUUGUGUCACAAAUUUGAUCAAAACCUCUCGUCCUGCUUUUGAAAGAUGCUUACCGAACCAUUGUUGAAUUUUCCUCCAUACCCCGUCUCUGAGAUACCCGAAAUUUUCCCUCUUGUUUCACCCAAUCAUGGAUGGCAUGCCCAAAUACUUUAUGGUUCCAAUACUUUUUUAUACCUAUAAGACAUUUUUGACUGCGAUCUAUCCGCCUCUGAGGUGUUUUUGCUGAAGAUUUCUGGCUUUCGGAAAUUAAUGGCUUGUUCUGACAUAGCUUCAUAAGAUUGUAAUAUUUCUUUCAACUUUAUACUUUCUUGCAUAUUUGCCUUGCAAAAAAUGAAACAAUCGUCAGCAAAUAAAAGGUGUGUGAGGAUUAGUGCUCCUCGACACAACUUCACACCAUGAAUAUCCACUCUCGCUUCAGCUUUCUUUAAUUGUGCAGAGAGACCCUCCACACAAAUUAUGAACAGAUAAGGUGACAGUGGGUCACCCUGUCGAAGACCUCUCUUUGGGAUAAUAGGUCUCACUCUCUCCCCAUUAACAAUCACUUGAUAAUUAACACUGUUCAUACACAUACUCAUCCAUUUCACCAAAAUAUCAUGGAGACCCAUUCUCCUCAUAAUUUCCUUCAGAUAAUCCCAUUAAACUCUAUCAUAUGCGUUACUUAUAUCAAUCUUCCUCACAACCUCUCCCACCCUUCCUUUCUUUUUACAUUUCAUAUGAUGGACAAUCUCAUAGGCUACCAUGACAUUGUCAAUAAUUGACUGAUUUUCAACAAAUGCAGAUUGCUCUAUAUGCAUUUAGGUAGUAAAGAUUUGAUCCUAUUUGAAGAAGUGCCUUGGAAAUGCCUUGUAGAUGACAUUGCAUAGUGAAAUGGGCACAAGAUCACGCAUAGUCUCCAUUAAUCAACCAAGUGGUAGCUACAUGAUACAACUCCACACAUACAAAUGCCAAAAUCUCUAAUAAAAAGUCGGGUUCAGCCCAUCCGGUCCUGGUGCUUUAUCGGAAUUCAUAUAGAAAAAUUCCUUUUUGAAUUUUGCAAUUUGGAAUGGGUAUAUAAGCAUACCAUUAUCUUCAUCUGUCAUUACCGGAUUGAUGUAUUCCAACUCCGUAUCAGCCAUCAUUCCGCCUUGUCAAAUAAUUCAACAAAAUAAUUAUUAGCUACUCCGCACCACUCUUGCUGCGACAUAACCAUUUCCCCAUCAUCCCUACUCAAAUUUGUGAUAUUGUUUUGCCUCUUAUUGGUGGUAGCCAUAGCAUGAAAAAACCGCAAGUUUGUGUCACCAUCUUUUAGCCAAUACACCUUUGUCCUAUGUUUCCAUAAUGCUUUUUCUUGCGCCAAUAAAGUUUCCAUUCGAUUACUAACCUCCGCAUAUCACACACUUUGGAAAUCAUGCAUGCUGCCCCUCAUUCUUUCCAAUUCCUCUCGGCACUCCUCAACGGCUACUCUGUAUUUGUUCUGAAGCUUACGACCCCAAUCAUUCAUAUCCUCUGUGCACCUCUUCAAUCGAAUUGCUUGGUCUAUAGUUGUUGAUCUCCGUCAAUCUCCAUAUGUUUCCCCUUUCUUAUUUAUUAGCAACUACUUCACUAUUAUCUUUUCUAUUGAAUAAAUAUGUGUAAUAAUCUCGUUGCAUCUUUUUUCUAUAAUAAUCUCAUUUAUUUUGAAUAAAACCAAUACUUUGUGCUCAUAAAAAAUUCUUUACUACUUUCUCUUUUAUAUAUUGAACAAAAACACAUUUUACCAUGUUUAAGAAAAAGACAGACAAUCAGAAGAGACUGUCAACAAAUAACUCACUUGCAUAUUAUUGAUUAUAUUCUCUAUUGUUCAAUUCACCUUCAUAGCCUAACACAAAUAUCAAAUAUAUUUAUGUAAAUGUCUCAACAAUUUCAUCACAUCAAAAUAAAAUUAUUUAAUAAGUUGUCAAUAUAUAAUUGAUUGAAUAAAAAGCACCUUUUCCAAACUGUGUUAAAUAAUAUUUUAGAUGCAAAAGAAAUGUAAGUUGAAAUGAUAAUUUUCCUUAAAUCUAUACCAAAACAUACAUAUGUGUCCCUUAUAAAAUCUUUUUACGUGUUACAUUUUAAAAUACAUAUAACUAAUUUGUAUUUCCAUAAAAAAAUAAAAAAAAUCAACAACUGUGCAACGCGCGGGCCUCAAUCUAGUAAAGAAUUAAUUCAAGUAAGAACGAGGGAAGAAAAGGGAGGGAUAAUUUCACUAACUACUGGGAAGAGAGAAAGUAAAAUGUUAAAGCCUGAAUUUGAGAAAAAAUAUUGAGAAUACCGAGGGACUGAAAUCGCCAUAAUGUGCGUUUUGAAUUGUUAGAUACAAUUUUGUCUAAGGCCGGGUAAAACCGGCGUCUUCAAAAACUACCGUAAUGUACUGUUUAAAGUGGCGGUUUUUGGAACUGCCGUAAUAAAACCGCCCUAAUUUACCAAUUUUUUAUGUAGUGUCUUCUUGUCGCCGUUGUCGUUACUCGGUAAGUUUUCAAUACUUUCUUAAUCUUUCUCCUUUUUCCCGUUGAGCAUGUUUCAAUAUGUAGAUUUGUACGUUUGUAUAGUUUGUCGUUGUUAAAUGUCUUCCUGGUUUUGUGUUAAUGUUAUUUGUCCAAACAUUUUUGUUGUUUACAUGUUCACGGAUUGUAACAACCAAAAGUUGUUAAUGUUGUUCCCUGAAAUAAAUGUCAACAUCAUUCGUUCUUUUAUUUAUGUUAUUGAUGUUGCAUGAUGAUGUUUGAGAUAGCAGUCAUUUCGUUAUUUUUAUUGUAAAUUCAUGAUCUUUUGAGUUCACAAGCAAGCUUAAACAGCAAGGAAAACAUGAAAAGUUGAAGAUUUUGAAGAGAGUAAUUUUCUGAAGAAUAUUGGAGUUCAGAGUUAUUUUGAGCAUGAUAAAGUGCGAAAAACAGGAAAAAUUGAAGAUGCUGAAAAAACGCCAAAAAUGUGUCACGAUUUGCCAAAACGUGACACGAUUUUACCAGACCAGAAAAACAUGCUCUCGACGUUGGGGCAAAACGUGUCACGAUUGCAAAAACGUGACACGAUUUCUUCAGCUGUUUGUAAAAACGUGUCACGAUUUACUUAAAACGUGACACGAUUUUGGGCGAAUUUCUGAGCCUAUUUAAGCUGACGUCUAUUCUGAAGACAAGGGUUACGAUUUGGAGAGAGCAAAGUGAGAUUUUGAGACCUAAAGACGGCUAGGAAGGCGAUUUCUUCAACCUUCUAUCAGUUCAUGUAUGUUUUAAUUCUAUUAUUGAUUAUGCUAUUUGUAAACUCAAUUAUGAGUAGCUAAAUCUCUUAGAGAUUAGGUUUGAUAUGAUUCUUUGUAACCCUAAUUGAACCAUGUUGUUGUGACCUCUAUUUAUUGUGAAUGACAAUCUAGUUUUUACUCAAUUCAAUUGUUCUUAAUACUUUUUAUAUAUUGACACCAUAUAUAUAAACAUGAUUUCAUGAGAAUGAAUGACUACUGACCAUAGCUUUCGACUUAGACCUAAUUGAAUUGUUCUAAUAAACAUGGUUAGUCUACGAAUGAAUAAUCGUUUAUUAGUGAUAUUAGGUUAACGUACUUAAAACCUUCAAAGAUUAUUAGACCACCUAAGGAAUUAGGGGAUGUAGUUUGAGAAGAGAGUCCUAACUCAAGGGAUUGAUUAAGACUAUUUUGUUAACUAUCGUGGAACUAGAGAAUCAUUCAUAAGAAUAGGUGCAGUAUAUCAAUUAGGGGAAUAUAGAUGAUUCGAAAGACCUGAUCUCAUCUCUCUCUCUCUCUCUCUCUCUCUCUCUCUCUCUCUCUCUCUCUCUCUCUCUCUCUCUCUCUCUCUCUCUCUCUCUCUCUCUCUCUCUCUCUCUCUCUCUCUCUCUCUCUCUCUCUCUCUCUCUCUCUCUCUCUCUCUCUCUCUCUCUCUCUCUCUCUCUCUCUCUCUCUCUCUCUCUCUCUCUCUCUCUCUCUCUCUCUCUCUCUCUCUCUCUCUCUCUCUCUCUCUCUCUCUCUCUCUCUCUCUCUCUCUCUCUCUCUCUCUCUCUCUCUCUCUCUCUCUCUCUCUCUCUCUCUCUCUCUCUCUCUCUCUCUCUCUCUCUCUCUCUCUCUCUCUCUCUCUCUCUCUCUCUCUCUCUCUCUCUCUCUCUCUCUCUCUCUCUCUCUCUCUCUCUCUCUCUCUCUCUCUCUCUCUCUCUCUCUCUCUCUCUCUCUCUCUCUCUCUCUCUCUCUCUCUCUCUCUCUCUCUCUCUCUCUCUCUCUCUCUCUCUCUCUCUCUCUCUCUCUCUCUCUCUCUCUCUCUCUCUCUCUCUCUCUCUCUCUCUCUCUCUCUCUCUCUCUCUCUCUCUCUCUCUCUCUCUCUCUCUCUCUCUCUCUCUCUCUCUCUCUCUCUCUCUCUCUCUCUCUCUCUCUCUCUCUCUCUCUCUCUCUCUCUCUCUCUCUCUCUCUCUCUCUCUCUCUCUCUCUCUCUCUCUCUCUCUCUCUCUCUCUCUCUCUCUCUCUCUCUCUCUCUCUCUCUCUCUCUCUCUCUCUCUCUCUCUCUCUCUCUCCCCCCCCCUAUCUUUUCCAAAACUAUCUUUAUUUUCUGUUUAUUUAAUUUUAAAAUAAUUUACACAUCCUAGAUAUUACCUUAUUAUAAAAUUGAGAUUAACACAGUCCUUGUAGAUACGAACUUAUAAAUUUUAUUACUUCGAUAGUUUUAGUACACUUGCUAAAAGUCUAUCAAUGUUCAAUAUGUUAACAUGUACAUGAGAAGUUGUAGAUAUAAUAGUAGUCAAUGAUGAUAAAUUGAUAAUAAUACUAAAAUAUCAAGGUAAGAAAGAACUACACUCAACACAUAAUCUUCAAAGUUGACCUGUUUAUAUUAAUGAGAUUUUUAAAAAGCUUAAGCCUAUCUUAUUUUAAUAAACGAGUUAGGCCGAGUCAUGUUUUAAGUAGACUUAGCCAUAGGGCCCUAACGAGCUAUCUGACCUAUUUCCACCCUCCCACUUAAGGAAGAUUACCCAUGCGCUACCGCACAGAAACACCGCCUUGAGAUGAUUUUGGUCGUUUGCUCGAUAUCCAACCGUGUUGCGCAACCCAUGCAUGUUUACGUUGCACAUCUACCACGCCCAGAUUUGCACGUUUUUAUAUAUUUUUUUAUAUUAAAUGUGUUCCAAAUUUUGUGUUAGUGUUACUUGUUCAAAUACUUUUGUUGAUUACAUGUUCAUGGAUUGUAACAACCAAAAGUUGUUAACGUUGUUCCCAAAAAUAAAUGUCAACAUCAUUCCUUCUUUUGUUUAUGUUCCUGAUGUUGCAUGAUGUUGUUCAAUGUGUUCACAUAAUCAUACAAAACCAUUGACUUAAAUAAAACAUUCAUCUCUACUACAAUAACCAUUCACCAUCAUAAUCAUACACAAUGUCUUCUACUAUACAAAACAACACUUCUUUUAUCUUCCCAGAGACAAAUUCAUCUCGCAUCCCUGAUCCCUCCAAGUUCUUCUCCCCAAAUCUUCUAUCUACACCCCUCCCCACAAACUCUUUCUUCCAAAACUUUUCUCUCAGAGAGGGUGAAACACCUGAAUACAUCCAUCCUUACCUCAUCAGAUCAACAAACUCAUCACUUUCUUUUUCAUACCCAUCUCGCUAUUCCAAUUCUUCAUUCCUAUACCAGGAAGUCAAAGACGACGAUAUUGGUGUCACUGUAUCUACUAUACAGAAGAACUUGAGUCCACUUUAUGAUGGAAGACACGUAAUCACUUCUUAUAGUGAUCUUGGUGUUACCUUAGAUUAUCCUGCUACUAAUCUCAGUUUCUUUCUUGUUAGAGGAAGUCCAUAUUUGACUUUCUCUGUAACAAAACCAAGUCACCUUCUCAUUUCCACCAGUUAUGACAUUCGUUCAGUUACUUCAAAUUGGUCCCGUACAAAGUUCACCAUUCAGCAUAGCAAUAAUCAAACAUGGGUUUUAUACACUUCCUCACCAAUCAAGUUGAGUCAUGAAACUUUUAAGAUUACUUCUAAGGCCUUUUCUGGUAUAAUUCGGAUCGCUUUGUUGCCAAAUUCCGAUCCGAAAUACAAGGCUAUUCUUGAUAGGUUUAGUUCUUGUUACCCUUUAUCAGGUGAUGCUAAACUUAGUGAAACGUUUUGUCUUGAGUAUAAGUUUGAGAAGAAAGGUUCAGGUGAUUUGUUAUUGUUAGCACACCCUCUUCAUAUUCAACUUUUAUCUAAAAGUAAAAGUGAUGUAACUGUUUUGGAUGAUUUCAAGUAUCAAAGCAUUGAUGGAGACCUUGUUGGUGUUGUUGGUGAUUCAUGGAUUUUGAAAACCGAUCCGAUUUCUGUAACUUGGCAUUCAAGCAAAGGUAUAAAAGAAGAAUCACAUGAUGAAAUUGUUUCGUCGCUUUUAAAAGAUGUUGAAGGUUUAAAUUCAUCAGCAAUAACAUCAAUUACUUCAUCUUACUUCUAUGGACAAUUGAUUGCAAGAGCAGCAAGGUUAGCAUUGAUAGCUGAAGAAUUUUUUUUCGUUGACGCUAUUCAAAAAGUCAGAAGCUUUUUGAAGGAAACAAUUGAACCAUGGCUUGAUGGAACUUUUAACGGAAAUGGAUUUCUGUAUGACAAAAAAUGGGGAGGAAUUAUUACACAGGAGGAAGGUGCUUUCGUUUUUAGUAGUGAUUUGGGAGACGGAGCGUAUAAUGAUCAUCAUUAUCAAUUAGGAUAUUUUCUUUAUGGAAUUGCAGUGCUUGUUAAGAUUGAUCCAGCAUGGGGUAGGAAGUAUAAGAAACAAUCCUAUUCACUUAUGGAAGACUUUAUGAACUUAAGUUUAAAAUCGAACUCAAAUUAUACGCGUUUAAGGUUUUUCGAUCUUUACAUGUUACAUUCGUGGGCCGUAGGGCUAACCAACUCUGAACAUGGAAGGUAUCAAGAGAGUACUAGUGAAGCUGUGAAUGCAUACUAUGCUGCAGCCUUAAUGGGAAUGGCAUAUGGUGAUCCUCAACUUGUGUCAAUUGCAUCAACACUAACAUCAUUGGAAAUUCUUGGAACCAAAAUGUGGUGGCAUGUUAAAAAGAAUGGGAAAUUGUAUGAUGAAGAGUUUACAAAAGAGAAUAGGAUAGUGGGAAUUUUGAGGUCUAAUAAGAGAGAGAGUAGUGUUUGGACUGCACCAUGUCCGUUUCGUGAGUGUGAAAGUAUGCUUGGUGUUCAUGUUUUACCAUUGUGUCCAAUUUCUGAAGUUUUAUUUUCUGAUGUUGAUUAUGUGAAAGAACUUGUUGAGUGGGCAUUGCCUCCUUUCAAAACGUUAGGUGCUGAAAACAGAUGGACGGGAUUUCGGUAUGCAUUGGAAGGAAUUUAUGAUAAUGAAAGUGCAUUGAAGAAGAUAAGAAGCUUGAAUGGUUUUGAUGGUGGAAACUCUUUGACUAAUCUUUUGUGGUGGAUUCAUAGUAGAGGUGAAGGUGGUGACGAUGAAUAAGAAAUAUUUGGUUACCUACCAUUUUAGUUUUUACUGCUAAAAUGAGAGUAAAUUUGUUAUCAUAAUUUCAUUUCAUGUAUUGUAUCAUGAUUGCUUUCAUUUCAUGUAUUGUAUCAUAAUUUCAUUUCAUAGAUUCCUUGUAUGAAUUAAAAAUAGUUGUGUGCUGUGACUUUUGUAUUCAAUUCACAUUGCCAGAUUGUCUUGCUUUAUUCCCAUUUUGUAUACCUUGCAAAAUAAUAUAGUAUUUGUAUUUAAUGCAAUCUGUAAAACUAUGCCUAGAGUCAAACUAAUAUAUAAAAAGAUGACCAUAAUAUAGUAUUUGUUUGUAUAUUUUAUCAGGUUUGUGAAAGGGGAUUCAUACUUUAUAAUAGUGCUAGUGUUAGAUAAUAAUUUAUUUGGCUUAUGCUAUUGUGCAAUUUAUGUUAUUAAUUGGCUUAAUGAUGUGUUUCGUCCUUGCAAUUAGGCGUCAUUUAAAAAUUAGUCUUUGUAAUCGCUAAUCCUGGCAAUUUACCUUGCAUUGUUUAAUCAUUUAAAAUUUCGUCCUUUGACCAACUUAAUCACUACCAAGUCAUCAAAUUAGCAAAAUGGCAUGGGAAUGAACAAAAAUAGCCUCGUCUUUAUUAUGAGAUGAAGAUGAAGACAGGGGUAAAAAUGUCAAUUUCUUGCUAAAGAACGCGAUGGGUGGCUAUCCUGCAUUAGUACGCCGCCCACUCCCACAUUGGAUACGUCUGCUUCCACCAAGAAUUGUAUGGUGAAAUCAUGGAGAUGUUGCAUUGGCGUCUAAAUAAUUUAGAAGGCUAUCUAUUCGAUUGAUACACAUCAUGGCAACAUGAAAAAACCAAAAUAUUUGAAAACAAAAAUAAAAUGGAAUGCAAAAAAGGAUGGGACAAAUAAGAAAGAAAAGGGAAGAGAAUCAACAAAUGCUAAGUUUUAGUGACAAUUUUCUGAAAAUAGGGGUAGUCUUUAAAAUAUUAUUCUAUGAAAAGAAAAUUAACGAUGAUGAGAUAUUCUCUUAAAAAAUAUUCAACUAUUUUAGCAGUAAAUGGAGUAAUUACUACACUAUCAUACAUAUAUUUCACAUGUAGUAUCUUCUUUUUUCUUUAGAGGUUCACAUAUAUAUCUUCUUAUUAAAGAAAAAAUAUCGUGUAUCAAUAAAAAAAAUUAAUGAUCCAGUUGAAGCAAAGCUACUUUAAACCCUUGUAAAUAAAAAAUUGGAAAUUCAAAAUAUAGUUCAUCUUUCGUUCUCAAUGAUUGUAAAAGAAAAUGCACAGUUGAACAAAGUUAGCACAAUAUAUUACUUGCACAAUUUGAUUUGACUAAUUUUGUUGAGAUAGUUGGAAAAAAAAAGGUAAAGACAAUAAUUAACAUAACAAAGAAACGCCCCUCCAACAAAAGCUUCAAUUAAUAUGUGAAAUGACCAUCAAAACUAUUUCAAACACCCUUAAAAAAAAAACUAUUAGAUAAAUGUCAAAGCUUACAAAAUGUUUAGAUAAAAAAAAAAAAAAACAGCAACAUGAAGAGAAGACAAUACCUUAUUGAAGGAUGUCUCCAUAAAGGCUAAGUUUAUUUUGAUUAUUGUUUUUUGUAAGAAGCCAAAAAUAAAUUAUAAAUUAACAAAUCAUAUAAGCAUAAUGUGUGUCUAAAAUUGAUUAAAGCAUAAGUACAUAAUAUAAAUCGAAACAAAAAAGAACAACAAAAUCAUGGUGUUAUAUCAAGUUCAAUAUAUGAAUUGAAACAAAAAAGAACAAUAGAAUCAUUCAUAGCGUAGCAUAACCAAAAAUUUAACUCAAUAGGCUAGUACAAUCUUCUUAGCUUUUCGAUCAAUUAUAAAAUAGUCUCCUUCUUUUUUUUUUUUUAAGGGAAAAAAAAAAAUUAAACAAUUAUAAUCCAAGGUGUACUUAAAAUAAAAUAGUAACAAACGAAUGUCAUAUGAAAGUAAAGUACUUGAUAGCCAAACCGACUAAACAAAAGAACUUAAACGCUACGUGGACAUUUCAAGAUAUAUUAAGGAAGGAGCAUUCAUAUUUAUUUAGAGAGAUUUUAUCAAGAUUUUUUUUUUAAACAAGCUAAAUUAACCCACUUAAAUUGGCGCCGGAGAUAAUCGAACCUAAGACCUUGUGAAGAAGCACACUUUCAAGUCCCAAGUCAAUAUCAUUAGUGAUUUUAUCAAAAAUUGAUCAAGAAAAUGUCUCAGUCAAUUAAAUUUGUUAUUUGCCGAAAAUCAAAGGAUGUAAUGAUGUGUAAUUAAGAAAAUGAGUUAGCAAAUCAAUGAGUAAGUUGCAUGCAAACUUAGGUGAGUUCUUCCCUCUUAACCAUAUUUUGGGAGAAAAUUAUAUAGUGUGUCUAUAUAUACAAUAGAUGAAGUUCAACUCAUUUAAUUAUUAAGUCAAAUUCAACUCAUUCAUUUUAUAAAUCAAAUUCAACAAGAUAAUUAUCAAGUUUCAAAUUUGAUUCGAUUUUCAAAAUAUUUCUUACCCAUCAAAUUUGAUUCCACUGUCCACCCUGACCCCUCCAAAUUCUUCUCUCCAAAUUUACUAUCCAAACCCCUCCCUACAAACUCUUUCUUCCAAAACUUUGUUCUCAAAAACGGUGACCAACCUGAAUAUAUUCAUCCAUACCUCAUUAAAUCAUCAAACUCAUCACUUUCUGUUUCUUACCCAUCACGUUUCUUAAACUCUUCUGUUAUAUCCCAAGUUUUCAAUGCUGAUCUUACCAUAACUUCUUCUACAAAAACUUCCAACGAAAAACACAUAAUCUCUUCUUACAAUGACCUCAGUGUUACCUUGGAAAUCCCUUCUUCAAAUUUACGUUUUUUUCUUGUUAGGGGAAGUCCUUUUUUGACAUUUUCUGUCACACAACUAACCCAUCUUUCUUUCACUACAAGCCAUGAUAUUCUUUCUUUUUAUUCGAACGAUUCCCUUACAAAGUUUACAUUUUACCUUAACAAUGGUCAAAGUUGGAUUUUGUAUGCUUCUACACCGAUAAACUUGAGUCACGGUCAUAGGUAUAUAGCUACUUCUGAGGAGUUUUCUGGCAUUAUUAGAAUAGCUUUGUUUCCGGAUUCUGAUUCAAAAACUGAAGCUGCUCUUGAUAGGUUCAGUUGUUGUUACCCUGUGAGUGGUAAUGCUGUUUUUACAACACAAUUCUGUGUUGAGUAUAAAUGGCAGAAGAAGGGUUCAGGUGAUUUGCUACUGUUAGCACACCCUUUACAUAUUCAACUUUUGUGUGACACUAUUGAUUGUGAUGUUACUAUUUUGAGUGAUUUUAAGUAUAAAAGCAUUGAUGGAGACCUUGUUGGUGUCAUUGGUGAUUCAUGGUUUUUGAAAACUGAUCCUGUUUCUGUAACUUGGCAUUCUUCAAAUGGUGUUAAGAAAGAAUACCAUAAAGAAAUUGUUUCAGCACUUUUGAAAGAUGUUGAGGAUCUAAAUUCAUCAGAUAUAUCAACAACAUCGUCUUAUUCUUAUGGAAAGUUGAUUGCUAGAGCUGCAAGGUUAGCAAUAAUAGCUGAAGAGGUUUUCGUCUUUGAUUUGAUUCCAAAGGUUAAGAUUAAGAUGUUCUUGAAGGAAACUAUUGAGCCUUGGCUUGAUGGAACUUUUAGUGAAAAUGGUUUUCUAUAUGAUAAAAGUUGGGGUGGAAUUGUUACCAGAAAAGAAUGUGAUGAAUCUAACGAUUGUUUAGGUUCGGAAAUUUAUAAUGCUCAGCUUAAUCAUUUAGGAUAUUUCCUUUAUGGUAUUGCUGUUCUUGCUAAACUUGAUCCCGAUUGGGGAAGAAAGUAUAAGCCUCAAGCUUAUGCACUCAUGGAAGAUUUCAUGAACUCCAGCACUUGUUUGAAUCCGAAUUACACGCGCCUAAGAUGUUUUGAUCUUUACAAGCUCCAUUCUUGGGCUGGAGGAUUAGCUGAGUAUGAAAAUGGAAGAUAUCAAAAGGGUAGUAGUGAAGCUAUUAAUGCAUAUUAUUCUGCUACCUUGCUUGGCUUAGCAUAUGGUGAUGCCAAUGUUGUUGCUAUUUGGUCAACCCUAACUGCUUUCGAAAUUCAAGCAUCUAAAAUGUGGUAUCAUGUGAAAGUGGGAGGGAAGCUAUACGAGGAAGAAUUUACAAAACAGAACAGGAUGGUCGGUCUUGUUUGGUCGAAUAAGAGAGAUAUCGAACUUUGGUUUGGUUAUCUUGGUGCUAAACAAUGUUUGCUUGGCAUUCAGGUUUUACCAUUGCUUCCUAUUUCAGAAAUGUUGUUUUCUGAUGUUGAAUUUGUGAAGGAUGUUGUGGAAUGGGUGUUGCCUGAUUUGGAAAGUGAUGGUGUUGGUGAAGGAUGGAAGGGAUUUGUGUAUGCUUUAAAGGGAAUUUAUGAUAAGGGUGAUGCUUUGGAGAAGAUUAGAAAGUUAAGUGGUUUUGAUGAUGGGAAUUCAUUGAGUAAUCUGUUGUGGUGGAUUCACAGCAGAGAUUGAAGUGUGAAUGGUUAUGAUAUUUUGGAAGAAACUUGUAAGAAAGAAAAGGAUAUAAUAUAUUGAUGAUAAAUUAAGUGGCUUUUAUAUUGCUUAAUUCAUAUUCCAACAAGUUUCAUUUUUAUAAUUGUAGUAUUUAGAUUUUUUUUUCUAGUUUAUCUUAGUACUACUUUCUACUUCUGCUAUAUUUCUCAGUCAAUUUGUAUAACUGAAUGUUCUUGAAUUAGGCACAUUGAUUAUUCACCACCUUGCUAAUCUGCUUUACUCACAAGAAAAACUAGUGGUACAUAAAAGGAAGAUCAAAUUAAGGCUUUGGAUUGAAUGUUUAAAGCAAAAAACAAAUCAUGCCUAAAAAUCACUAAACUAAACACCUAUGACCUCUUACGGCAGCAAUUCGGCUACGCUGCUGCAACUCAAAACGAUUCCGAUUACGACUUAAAUCUUCGUAGCCUGUGAAACCAUGCACAAGACAGAAUAUGACAGUACACAAGCCUUAAUCUGCAGCCCAACAUCAGUUGAGAAAUUGUCUUCAAAAUUAUAUUUACUUGCCUCUGUUGAAUUGAAACUAACAAAGCUAAUCUUCCAGAUAGAAAUAGAUUUCAAAUGCAAUUGCAUAUUAUUUACAUUUGCAACAAAAUUUAGUUCAAUUUACUCACAGUCUCAUACCCUACCAAGCCUGCAACCAAAACCAACCUGAUACUUCCAAACUUUACCAGUUAUUAAUCAAACAAACCAAAUGCUCGAUGUUUAUUUAAUAUUUGCGAACCAAACAGUUGUUGCUCGAUGUUCAAAGAGAUUAGUCCUCCAAAUUGAUCCAAAUGCUCAACCCCUUUGUGAUAUUUUGGAUUUGUGUCAUGACUUCAUCUCAUCAAUCUGAGACUAGUCUCUCCAAGAGAAACUAAUUCAUAACACUUAGAUGAUUAUUUAAUGUUCUAUUUUUGUGUUGAGUAGUUAGUAACAUUUCUUUGUUGGCUUAAAGUAAAGGGAUUUACUAGUAAUUAUAACCCUCUUUCCUAAACUAUUUAAGUUCAUUUUUUGCUUCAUAUAUACAUCAUCCUUUAUUUAUUAUUUUUCAAUAUUUUUUUGUUUAGUUGGGAUCCUUUCCAUUUUCAUAUGGCUGCUAAGCAAUCGAAAAACAAAUUAGCAUGAUGAUAAUUAUUGUAAAACAUUACCAUAUUAAAUGCACUAAUCCUUCAAAACAUUAUUUCAUCAAAAUUCUAAGACAUCAGACACAAGCACUGGACUAGUCGUACCAAUUAAAAAUGACUGCAAAGCUCUUAAAUAAUAAUAAGUCAAGUUAUUAAUUGCAAGGGACAAAAUCAUUGUAACAUUUUUCUCAAUUACUUUCAAAAUAUCAUAAACCAUUCAAUGUCUAAACACUUCAACCUCUACUAUGUAUCCACCACAGAAGAUUAGUCAUUGAAUUUCCAUCUUUAAACCUUCAGCCGAAGAGUAAGACUUAUAUUGAUCGAAACACCUUAAACGUGUAUACUUAUCAAACCCUGAUCUAAACAUAUUACUUUCUUCUCGUAACACAUCUGAGCUACUUUAAUUUCCAAAAAUAUUAAGGGUUGAUCCAUUAGCAACAACAUUCACAUCACCAUAUUAAGAACAAUAUGCACUAGCUCCCUUCUGGUAUCUGCCAUUUUCAAUUCUUGUAACCCUUAACCCUACAGCUCAAGAAUGCAUUUUAUAACAAUCGAAACACCUUAGAUGCAUAUGAUUUGGGUUCGAACAUGUGCUCAAGUUCAUAAAAUCUUCCAUGAGUGAAUAAACUUGAAGCUUAUACUUCUCACCCCAAUAUGGAUCAAUCAUUACAAGAACAGAAAUACCAUAAAGGAAAUAUCCCUAGCGAUGAAGCUGAGAACAAUAAGACUCAACCAAAAUCAGAACUAGAGUCAGCAGAACAUCUUUGUUUGGUAACAAUAUCUCCCCAUUUCUGAUCAUAUAGAAAUCCAUUUUAUUUGAAAGUUCCAUCAAGCCAAGGCUCAAUGAUCUCUUUCAAAUACUUUUUAACUUUUGAAAUCACAUCAAGGAAACAAACCUCUUCAGCUAUUGAAGCCAACCUUGCAAUCAAGACCCUCAACAUCUUCGUGAACAAAGUAUUAUUUUUCUUGAAUCAGAAUUAACAUUGCAAUCAAGACCCUCAAAAUCUAUUGAGGGUCUAAAUUCAUCUGCAAUAACAACGACUUCGUCUCAUUUUUCUUGAAUCAGAAUCUGUGAACAAAACUUAUCCAAAUCUAUGAGGCACUAACACAAACAUCUUACACGACACUGACACGUCGACACCCUUAAUAGCUUUAUUAAAUGAAUUAUUUGAAUGUCAUUUGUGAAAAUUCGCUUUGACCAAUUAAGUAAAAUUGGUAUUCUUAUUUCUUAUUAUAAUCGUUAUUUAUUUAGAAAAAUACAAUAAUAAUUAAUUUUAUAAGAUUUUAAACAUUAAAUCUCUACCAUAAAAAAAAUUAACAUUCAACUCUAUGUCAUUGAAUUUACAAUAUACAGGCUCUAUACAGCUGGCCUAAUCGAUUGGAUCCAGCUACAGUCUUUGGAUUUCAACUAUAUAUAUGCCCUAAAACCACCUUACUUGAAUCAUCAACUCAAGAGUAAUAGUGUUUGGUUUCUUGUUCACUCUUUCACUUCACAAACAACUAUUCUUUUCUUUUACAAUGACUUUUUCCUUUGGAAAUGAGUUUCCAGCCAAUGUUAAAGUUCUUGUGAUUGAUCAUGAUAUUGAUCUUCUCAAUGCUAUUGACAAAACAUUGUCUCAAUUCAAUUACCAAGGUUUGUAAAUUAAUAUAUGGUACCUUAUUUGAUUCUUAAUUGAAUUAUAUAUUAACCUAUGAAAGUCUCAAUCUUUGUUUCAGUUACAACAUGCUCGACGGUUUCUUCAGCCUCGAAUUUGAUAGCACAAAAGGUGCAUUUUGAUUUGGUACUACUUGAAACUCAAAUGCCGGACAUGGAUUCAUUUGAUUUCUUGCAACAAUUGACACAACAAGUCAAUAUUCCUGUCAUUAGUAAGUAAAUAUAUAAUUAAUUAUAUUAUCAUAUCACAUGAUUAAUUUAUAUAUGUUACAUAUAUGUGCAGUGACGAUGUGUUCUGAAGGAUCAACAAAUUAUGGAAUAAUCAAGGCCAUUGAAAAUGGAGCUUGUGACUGUUUUGUCAAGCCAUUCGCUGAAAAUCAAGUAAAGUAUAUGUGGCAUCAUGCUGUUAGGAAAAUGAUGAAAGGAAAUAAAAAGCAUAAAAUCAAUGAGCAAUUGGGGGUUGAAGGUAGCCAAAUAAGGGCAAGAGAUGAUUCAAAUUUACCCUUAAAAGAUGCAACAUCGGAAAAAGGGUAAUAGCCAUUUUGGUCCAUGAAUGUGUAAUAAGUAGUCAUAAUAGUCUCUCAAUGUAUUAAAAUUCUAAAAUAGUCCCUGAUUUUGUACUUUGUUUGUUAGUCAUAAAGUGAGAAUAAGUAAAUAUAUUGAAGGACUAAUAUGACAAUAUUAAUGAAGUAUUUUAAUGUUACGGACUAUUUUGACAAACGAAGUGUAUAAUCAAAGACAAUUUAAAAUUUUGAUACAUUGAUGGACUAUUUUAGUCCCACAUGUAUCAAAUGUCUAGAUCUGCCCCUGACUCAGACACAUACACUGUCCGACACCGGACACGUCUUUGAUCAAAGGUGUCGGACUCAAGUUGAUUUUUAAGGUUUUAGGGUUUAACAAAGAUCGCAGGUGAUAGUGUUUAUAGGGUUAAAGUUUUGUGACUAAAAUAAACAUGUAAAUCACUAAGAAGAAGAAAAAGGGUUGUUAUCACUAUCAGAGUUCAAUUUUGUUAAUUGGUUUGUUGAAAUUUGUGAUAAAAAAAAAGAAUAUGAUUGACAAAUGAUUGAAUGAGAAGGACAAGGACAGGGAAAGGAAUGAACCUGAAGGAAUGGAUCUGAAGGUUUCACCAUUUUCUCAUAAAACGUGUGCUCUAAGGUGAUAAACAUUUCAAGACCCACUUUGAACAUAGAUCACUAGCAUUAUGUCUGAUAUGAACAUAGCUCUCAGGUUCAAUAACAUAGACCAAUAACAUAUAAGGAAACGUAACACAAGAGGCUUGACAUCAUUGAUUCAUUGCUCACUUAGUGAAAUCAUCCACCAUAAUAGAUUAGUCAAUGAGUUUCCAUCAUCAAAACCCUUCAACUUUCUUAUCUUCUGCUGUGCACUUUCAUUAUCAUAAAUCCCUUGCAAGGCAUAAACAAACCCCUUCCAACCCUCUUCAACACCAUCCCUUUUUAAAGCAGGUAAUGUCCACUCCACAAGUCCCUUCACAUACAUAACAUCAGAGAACAAGACUUCAGAAAUUGGAAGCAAUGGUAAGAGCUGAAUCCCAAGCCUACAUUCUUUCCAUUCAGCUGGACCAAACCAUAAACCACUGUCUCUUUUGUUCGACCAAAGUACACCAAUUAUCUUAUUGUUUUUACUAAACACUUUCUCAUACAUAUUCCCUCCUUCUUUUACAUGCCACCACAUUUUAGCAGCAAGAAUUUCAAAUGAUGCAAGUGUCGAUGCAGUCGCUGCGAGUUCUGCAUCGUCGUAUGCCAUUCCCAUCAAGGCUGCGCAUAAUAAGCAUUCCAGCUUCACUGGUACUCUCUUGAUUUCUUCCAUCAGUGAAUUCUGUUAGCCCUCCAGCCCAAGAGUGUAAUUUAUACAGAUCGAAACACCUUAGAUGCGUGUAAUAACUAGGGUUUGAAUUUCUGCUCAGAUUCAUAAAAUCAGCCAUGACAGAAUAGGCUUGAGACUUAUACUUUCUACCCCAAAUAGGAUCAAUCUUAGCAAGCACUGCAAUUCCAUAGAGAAAGUAUCCUAAAUGAUAAUGAUGAUCAUUAUAAACUCCGAACCCAAAAUCAGCACCGGCAUUUGUAGAACCAUGUUUGGUUACAAUAUCUCCCCAUUUUUUAUCAUAAAGAAAUCCAUUUCCAUUAAAAGUUCCAUCAAGCCAAGGCUCAAUGGUUUCCUUCAAAUACUUUCUAACUUUUGGAAUCACAUCAAGGAAACAAACCUCUUCCGCUAUCAAUGCAAGUCUUGCAGCUCUUGCAAUCAAUUUUCCAUAAAAAUAAGAUGAUUUUGUUUUUAUUGUUGAUGAAUUCAGUCCUUCAACAUCCUUACAAAGUGCUGAAACAAUUUCAUCACGCAAUCCAUCUCUCACACCUUUGCUUGAAUGCCAAGUUACAGAAACAAGAUCUGUUUUCAAAAUCCAUCUCUCCAUCAAUGCGUUUAUACUUAAAAUCACUCAAAACAGUAACAUUACAAUCUUUCUUAGACAAAAGCUGCAGAUGGAGAGGAUGACUAGGAAGUUUUGGUGAUUGCCGGUGACCUCCAAUGUUAGACCCUUGGAGCUUGAGAUCAUCUCCAAUGACUAGAAAAUUUUAGUAGCUGGAGAGGAUCCCAACUCGACCCUAACCUUAGUAAUUCAUACAUAAUAUUUGCGUUUACAUUGAACUGCAUUUUAUUUUUAUUUUUUUGAGUUGUGUUCAAAUUACAUUUUUAUGUUACUCAACUUUUUUUGGAGUAAAAAUGAAGCUUUGUUUGUUCAUUGUCUGUCACUAACUACACUUCAGAAUUCUUGAACCUGGACUUGAUCAUUUUGAAAUUUCCCCAAAUCGCAAAUGAAUAGAAACAGAGAACAUAAAUAGCAUUUUCUAUUUAUUUUAGAAAAAGUCACUUCAUUUAAACCCUUUAGAAAUUAAUUUAUGAAGUGCACCAAUCCUACAAAAUAGUAUCACUAUUACUCGUUCCAAAUCACAAUCCUGCUACACAAAAACACUAGUAGUUGAAUACAUAGCUCUCAAAUAAGAAUAAAACAGGGAAUUCCAAGAGAAAAUACAUUAAACUAAAGUCAUAGAAAGAUGGUUCUCAAUCACUUCCAAAAUAUCAUAAACCUUUCAAUGUUAACACUUCAACCUCUACUAUAAAUCCACCACAGAAGAUUAGUCAUCAAAUUUCCAUCUUCAAACCCCUUUAGGCUUUUUAUAUUCUUCAAUGCACCUUAAUUGUCAUAUAUUCCCUGCAAGGCAAACACAAAUCCCUUCAUUUGCUGACCAAUACCUUCCCUUUUUAAGGCAGGUAAUGUCCAUUCAACUAGUUCCUUCACAUACUUUGCAUCAGAAAACAAAACUUCAGAAAUAGGCGACAAGGGUAAAACUUGAACACCAAGCCUUGCUUCUCUCCAUUCAGCCGGAGCAAACGACAAUCCACUGUCUCUCUUGUUAGACCAUAAAACUCCCAUGAUCCUAUUCUCCUUUGUAAAAUCUUUUUCAUAGAGCUUACCGUCCUUUUUAACAUGCCACCACAUUUUCUCUGCACAAAUUUCCAAUGAUGCAAGUGUUGAUCCAAUGGACACAAGUUGAGGAUCACCAUAUGCCAUUCCCAUCAAUGCUGAAGCAUAGUAUGCAUUUACAGCUUCACUACUUGCCAUUUGAUUACUUCCAUCUGCAAACUCGGUUACCCCUCCGGCCCAUGAGUGCAACUUGAAAAGAUCAAAACACCUAAAACGCGCAUAAUUUGAGUUCAAACUCGUGCUCAAAUUCAUAAAAUCUUCCAAUAAUGAAUAUGCUUGAGCCUUAUACUUCCUACCCCAAGCUGGAUCAAUCUUAGCAAGCACAGCAAUUGCAUAAACAAAAUAUCCCAAAGUACCAUGAUGAUUAUUAUAAAUUCCAAAACCAUACUCAGCAUUUGAAUCAGUAGAGCCUUGUUUUGUAAUAAUCCCUCCCCAUUUUUUAUCAUAGAGAAAUCCAUUACCUUUGAAAGUUCCAUCAAGCCAAGGCUCAAUCAUCUCCUUCAAAUACUUCUUAACCUUAACCUUUGGAAUCACAUCAUAGAAAAAAAUCUCUUCAGCUAUCAAAGCCAAUCUUGCAGCUCUUGCAAUCAAUUUUCCAAUAGCAUGACAUGAAGUAGUUUUUAUGGACAACGAAUUCAAACCUUCAACAUCCGUAAAAAGUGAUGAAACAAUUUGAUCAUAGUGUUUUUCUUUCACACCCUUUGUGGAAUACCAAGUAAUAGAAACAUGAUCAGUUUUCAAAAUCCACGAAUCAGCAACAAUGCCAACAAGAUCGCCAUCAAUGCUUUUAUACUUGAAAUCACUCAAAACAGUAAUAUUCUUACAAUCUUUCUCAGAUAAAAGCUGAAGAUGAAGAGGGUGUGCUAACAUCAACAAAUCACCCCAACCCUUCUUCUCCCAUUUAUACUCAACACAAAAUGGUUCUCUGAGUAUAGCAUCACCUGACACAGGAUAACAGAAACAAUACCUGUCAAGAACAGCCUCAUGUUUUGAAUCAGAAUCCGGCAAUAAAGCUAUUCGAAUUGUGCCAGAAAAGGCCUCGGAAGUUAUCUCUGAACGGCCUUGAGUCAACUUUAUUUUUAUUGAAGCAUACAAUAUCCAUGCUUGAUUAUUGUUAAACCGAAUAGUAAACUUUGUAGACGAAUCAUUUGAUGAGAAGUAAAUGAUAUCAUGGACGGUUGAAAUGGAAAGAGGGGCUGGUUUUGUUACAGAAAGAGUCAAAUAAGGACUUCCUCUAACAAGAAAGAAACUCAUGUUGGUUGAAGGAAUGUCUAACGUGACACUGAGAUCACUAUAGGAAGAAAUUACAUGUUUUCCAUUGCAACUUUUUUCUUUUUAUGAGGAAGUUAUAGUAAGAUCAGGUUUGAAUACUUGGUGUAUGGCUUUGGAGCUGGAAGAACGAUUUGGAUAGGAAAUAGAAAGUGAUGAGUCUGAAGAUUUGAUGAGAUAUGGAUGAAUGUAUUCAGGUUGGUCACCAUUGUUGAGAACAAAGUUUUGGAAGAAAGAGUUUGUAGGGAGGGGUGUGGAUAGCAGAUUUGGAGAGAAGAAUUUGGAGGGGUCAGGAAGGACAGUGGAGUUACCUUGUGG
RNAcentral lists this long non-coding RNA (22985 nucleotides) under Medicago truncatula (barrel medic). RNAcentral's name for it is "long non-coding RNA (MTRU_LNC003883)". The record is from RNAcentral. Lineage: Eukaryota; Viridiplantae; Streptophyta; Magnoliopsida; Fabales; Fabaceae.